RNAcentral lists this ribosomal RNA (497 nucleotides) under uncultured bacterium. RNAcentral describes it as "partial 16S ribosomal RNA". It matches the Rfam family "Bacterial small subunit ribosomal RNA", at positions 28 to 507 of the family's 1533-position model. The record is from RNAcentral.
GAUGAACGCUGGCGGCGUGCCUAAUACAUGCAAGUCGAGCGAACAGACGAGGAGCUUGCUCCUCUGACGUUAGCGGCGGACGGGUGAGUAACACGUGGAUAACCUACCUAUAAGACUGGGAUAACUUCGGGAAACCGGAGCUAAUACCGGAUAAUAUAUUGAACCGCAUGGUUCAAUAGUGAAAGACGGUUUUGCUGUCACUUAUAGAUGGAUCCGCGCCGCAUUAGCUAGUUGGUAAGGUAACGGCUUACCAAGGCAACGAUGCGUAGCCGACCUGAGAGGAUGAUCGGCCACACUGGAACUGAGACACGGUCCAGACUCCUACGGGAGGCAGCAGUAGGGAAUCUUCCGCAAUGGGCGAAAGCCUGACGGAGCAACGCCGCGUGAGUGAUGAAGGUCUUCGGAUCGUAAAACUCUGUUAUUAGGGAAGAACAAAUGUGUAAGUAACUAUGCACGUCUUGACGGUACCUAAUCAGAAAGCCACGGCUAGCUACGUG